GGCCACAUGUGAAGUUUAUGUA
This 22-nucleotide non-coding RNA is filed under the name Arabidopsis thaliana (thale cress). The record is from RNAcentral. Lineage: Eukaryota; Viridiplantae; Streptophyta; Magnoliopsida; Brassicales; Brassicaceae.